AACGCACAUUGCGCCCGCUAGUAUUCUAGCGGGCAUGCCUGUUCGAGCGUCAUUUCAACCCUCAAGCCCCCUCCGGCUUGGCGUUGGGGAUCUGCCGGCCCUUGGCGGCCGGCAGCCCCCGAAAUCUAGUGGCGGUCCCGCUGUAGCCUCCUCCGCGUAGUAACACACCUCGCUCUGGGACUCGGCGGCGGCCAGGCCGUUAAACCCCCCACUUUCUCAAGGUUGACCUCGGAUCAGGUAGGAAUACCCGCUGAACUUAA
This 260-nucleotide unclassified non-coding RNA is filed under the name uncultured fungus. Its description in RNAcentral is "partial contains 5.8S ribosomal RNA, internal transcribed spacer 2, and large subunit ribosomal RNA". The stretch from base 1 to 52 matches the Rfam family "5.8S ribosomal RNA", at positions 103 to 154 of the family's 154-position model. Lineage: Eukaryota; Fungi. The record is from RNAcentral.